AAGCUCGUAGUUGAAUUUCGGGAUCAAUAUGUUGGUCGUGCCAUUGGUACGCACUGGCAUUAUUGGUUUCUACCUUCUGAAGAACCUCGAUGUCAUUAAUUUGGUGUCUUGGGGAAUCAGGACUGUUACUUUGAAAAAAUUAGAGUGUUUAAAGCAAGCUCGCGCUUGAAUACAUUAGCAUGGAAUAAUGGAAUAGGACGUUUGAUUCUAUUUUGUUGGUUUCUAGGAUCGACGUAAUGAUUAAUAGGGAUAGUUGGG
RNAcentral lists this ribosomal RNA (258 nucleotides) under uncultured Glomus. Its description in RNAcentral is "partial 18S ribosomal RNA". It matches the Rfam family "Eukaryotic small subunit ribosomal RNA", at positions 624 to 886 of the family's 1831-position model. The record is from RNAcentral. Lineage: Eukaryota; Fungi; Glomeromycota; Glomeromycetes; Glomerales; Glomeraceae.